This 71-nucleotide transfer RNA is filed under the name Bos taurus (domestic cattle). It matches the Rfam family "tRNA". From Rfam's summary of the family: Transfer RNA (tRNA) molecules are approximately 80 nucleotides in length. The record is from Rfam by way of RNAcentral. Lineage: Eukaryota; Metazoa; Chordata; Mammalia; Artiodactyla; Bovidae. RNAcentral also lists the same sequence under 4 other names.
GCAUUGGUGGGUCAGUGGUAGAAUUCUUGCCUGCCAUGUAGGAGGCCCUGGUUUGAUUCCCAGCCAAUGCA